GAAGGGCCCGGCUCGCGUCCAG
This 22-nucleotide microRNA is filed under the name Bos taurus (domestic cattle). Its description in RNAcentral is "microRNA miR-375". The record is from RNAcentral. Lineage: Eukaryota; Metazoa; Chordata; Mammalia; Artiodactyla; Bovidae.